Non-coding RNA from Phrynosoma platyrhinos (Desert horned lizard), 72 nucleotides. NCBI's taxonomy places the organism in Eukaryota, Metazoa, Chordata, Lepidosauria, Squamata, Phrynosomatidae. The record is from the annotation of a GenBank genome assembly.
GCCAGAGUGGUAUAGUGGUUUAAGUGUUGGGCUAGGACUCUGGAGAUCAGGGUUCAAAUUCCCGCUCAGCCA